AGUGAACGCUGGCGGUAGGCCUAACACAUGCAAGUCGAACGGCAGCACAGUAAGAGCUUGCUCUUACGGGUGGCGAGUGGCGGACGGGUGAGGAAUACAUCGGAAUCUACUUUUUCGUGGGGGAUAACGUAGGGAAACUUACGCUAAUACCGCAUACGACCUACGGGUGAAAGCAGGGGAUCUUCGGACCUUGCGCGAUUGAAUGAGCCGAUGUCGGAUUAGCUAGUUGGCGGGGUAAAGGCCCACCAAGGCGACGAUCCGUAGCUGGUCUGAGAGGAUGAUCAGCCACACUGGAACUGAGACACGGUCCAGACUCCUACGGGAGGCAGCAGUGGGGGAUAUUGGACAAUGGGCGCAAGCCUGAUCCAGCCAUACCGCGUGGGUGAAGAAGGCCUUCGGGUUGUAAAGCCCUUUUGUUGGGAAAGAAAAGCAGCAGGUUAAUACCCCGCUGUUCUGACGGUACCCAAAGAAUAAGCACCGGCGAACUUCGU
RNAcentral lists this ribosomal RNA (491 nucleotides) under uncultured bacterium. RNAcentral's name for it is "partial 16S ribosomal RNA". It matches the Rfam family "Bacterial small subunit ribosomal RNA", at positions 29 to 506 of the family's 1533-position model. The record is from RNAcentral.